UACGGGAGUGGCAAGCGUUAUCCGGAAUUAUUGGGCGUAAAGCGCCUGUAGGUGGUUUAAUAAGUCUGUUGUUAAAGACUAGGGCUUAACCCUAGAAAAGCAAUGGAAACUACUAGACUAGAGUAUGGCAGGGGUAGAGGGAAUUUCUAGUGUAGCGGUGAAAUGCGUAGAUAUUAGAAAGAACACCAGCGGCGAAAGCGCUCUACUGGACCAUUACUGACACUCAGAGGCGAAAGCUAGGGUAGCAAAAGGGAUUAGAUACCCCUGUAGUCCUAGCCGUAAACGAUGGAUACUAGAUGUUGUGUAUAUUUUACAGUAUCGUAGCUAACGCGUUAAGUAUCCCGCCUGGGGAGUACGCUCGCAAGGGUG
This 369-nucleotide ribosomal RNA is filed under the name uncultured phototrophic eukaryote. RNAcentral describes it as "SSU rRNA". It matches the Rfam family "Bacterial small subunit ribosomal RNA", at positions 524 to 896 of the family's 1533-position model. The record is from RNAcentral.